This 73-nucleotide transfer RNA is filed under the name Candidatus Moduliflexus flocculans. Its description in RNAcentral is "tRNA-Lys". It matches the Rfam family "tRNA". Rfam says of the family: Transfer RNA (tRNA) molecules are approximately 80 nucleotides in length. Their secondary structure includes four short double-helical elements and three loops (D, anti-codon, and T loops). The record is from RNAcentral. Lineage: Bacteria; Candidatus Moduliflexota; Candidatus Moduliflexia; Candidatus Moduliflexales; Candidatus Moduliflexaceae.
GGCCCGCUAGCUCAAUUGGCAGAGCAGCAGACUCUUAAUCUGCGGGUUGUAGGUUCGAUUCCUACGCGGGUCA